UACGUAGGUGGCAAGCGUUGUCCGGAUUUAUUGGGUUUAAAGGGUGCGUAGGCGGCCCCAUAAGUCAGUGCUGAAAUACUCUAGCUCAACUAGAGGGGUGGCAUUGAUACUGCAGGGCUUGAGUACAGACGAGGUAGGCGGAAUUGACGGUGUAGCGGUGAAAUGCAUAGAUAUCGUCAAGAACACCGAUAGCGAAGGCAGCUUACUGGGCUGUAACUGACGCUGAUGCACGAAAGUGUGGGGAUCAAACAGG
Molecule: ribosomal RNA, 253 nt
Filed under: uncultured bacterium
Lineage: Bacteria
Description: partial 16S ribosomal RNA
Rfam family: Bacterial small subunit ribosomal RNA
Source: RNAcentral